ACCCAGCUGACGAGUCCCAAAUGGGACGAAACGCGCGUCCUGAAU
RNAcentral lists this non-coding RNA (45 nucleotides) under Schistosoma margrebowiei. Lineage: Eukaryota; Metazoa; Platyhelminthes; Trematoda; Strigeidida; Schistosomatidae. The record is from RNAcentral.